ACUAAACAGCUAGCCUCAACAAGUAAAACCUAUUUAUGAUUUAAGACUCACAAUGCACUUAAAUAAAUCAUUUUACUCCCAAAGUAUGUGCGACAGAAAAGGAAAAAAGAGCAACAGAUAAAGUACCGCAAGGGAACGCUGAAAAAGAAAUGAAAUAAAUCAAUUAAGUACUAAAUAGCAGAGCUUACCCCUCGUACCUUUUGCAUCAUGAUUUAGCAAGUAAAAUGCAAGCAAAGAGCCCUUUAGUUUGCGACCCCGAAACUGAGCGAGCUACUCCAGGACAGCCUAUUGUAGGGCAAACCCGUCUCUGUGGCAAAAGAGUGGGAAGAUCUUCGAGUAGAGGUGACAAACCUACCGAGCACAGUAAUAGCUGGUUGCCUGGGAAUUGAAUAGAAGUUCAGCCCUUUAAGUUUUCCUAACCAUACAAGCCGUGCUCAUAUUGGUAAAGAUAUCUAAAGGAGUUAGUCAGAAAGGGUACAGCCUUCCCGACAAGAGAAACAACUUUUACAGGUGACACAAGAUCAUAAUAAUAGAGGACUUCAAAUUAAGUGGGCCUGAAAGCAGCCAUCUUAACAGAAAGCGUUAAAGCUCAAAUUAAGUCUAAUCCCCGUAUUCUGAUACAAAAUCUUCCUCCCUGCCCCCUACCAGGCUGUCUUAUGCCCCCAUAAGAGCAAUUAUGCUAAAAUGAGUAAUAAGAAGACACGAUCUUCUCCUAGCAUAUGUGUAAGUUGGAACGGACCCCCCACCAACUAUUAAUCGAUCCCACCCCCAGAGGGAAUUAAGCGACACCCCAAGAAAGACACUUAAACCAUAUCGUUGACCCCACACAGGAGUGCCCACAGGAAAGACUAAACGAGGGGGAAGGAACUCGGCAAACAAAAGCCCCGCCUGUUUACCAAAAACAUCGCCUCUUGCCCCCCCCCCAUAAGAGGUCCCGCCUGCCCUGUGACUAUAUGUUUAACGGCCGCGGUAUUUUAACCGUGCGAAGGUAGCGUAAUCACUUGUCUUUUAAAUGAAGACCUGUAUGAAUGGCAUCACGAGGGCUUAGCUGUCUCCCCUCUCCAGUCAAUGAAAUUGACCUCCCCGUGCAGAGGCGGGGAUUCAAACAUAAGACGAGAAGACCCUGUGGAGCUUCAGACCUAAAAUAAUUUAUGUUUAAUACACUGGGAAUAUCAGCUAAAACUUAAUAAUAAUUAUUGGAGUGUCUUUGGUUGGGGCGACCGCGGGGUAAAACAAAACCCCCACGUGGAAUGGGAGAAUCACUCCUAGUACCUAGAGCCGCUACUCCAAGUAACAGAAAUUCUGACUUUAUGAUCCGGUAUUACCGAUCAACGGACCGAGUUACCCCAGGGAUAACAGCGCAAUCCUCUCUCAGAGCCCAUAUCGACGAGGGGGUUUACGACCUCGAUGUUGGAUCAGGACAUCCUAAUGGUGCAGCCGCUAUUAAGGGUUCGUUUGUUCAACGAUUAAAGUCCUACGUGAUCUGAGUUCAGACCGGAGCAAUCCAGGUCAGUUUCUAUCUAUGACAAGUCUCUCCCUAGUACGAAAGGACCGGGAGAAAAGGGCCAAUGCCUAACGCACGCCCUUCCACCUACCGCUGAAAACCAAUAAAACGGACAAGGAGGCUUGAAGAAGACCCCCAAAACAGGGCCA
This 1653-nucleotide ribosomal RNA is filed under the name Phycis blennoides. Its description in RNAcentral is "16S ribosomal RNA". It matches the Rfam family "Bacterial large subunit ribosomal RNA". The record is from RNAcentral. Lineage: Eukaryota; Metazoa; Chordata; Actinopteri; Gadiformes; Phycidae.